AUACGUAGGGGGCUAGCGUUAUCCGGAUUUACUGGGCGUAAAGGGUGCGUAGGCGGUCUUUUAAGUCAGGAGUGAAAGGCUACGGCUCAACCGUAGUAAGCUCUUGAAACUGGGGGACUUGAGUGCAGGAGAGGAGAGUGGAAUUCCUAGUGUAGCGGUGAAAUGCGUAGAUAUUAGGAGGAACACCAGUAGCGAAGGCGGCUCUCUGGACUGUAACUGACGCUGAGGCACGAAAGCGUGGGGAGCAAACAGGAUUAGAUACCCUGGUAGUCCACGCCGUAAACGAUGAGUACUAGGUGUCGGGGGUUACCCCCCUCGGUGCCGCAGCUAACGCAUUAAGUACUCCGCCUGGGGAGUACGCUCGCAAGAGUGAA
Molecule: ribosomal RNA, 374 nt
Filed under: uncultured bacterium
Lineage: Bacteria
Description: bacterial SSU rRNA
Rfam family: Bacterial small subunit ribosomal RNA
Source: RNAcentral